GACGAACCGAGCGAACGUUGUUCGGAAUCACUGGGCUUAAAGGGCGCGUAGGCGGGCCAUCAAGUCAGGGGUGAAAGCCCCCGGCUCAACCGGGGAAGUGCCUCUGAUACUGGUGGUCUCGAGGGAGAUAGGGGCGUGCGGAACUUCCGGUGGAGCGGUGAAAUGCGUAGAUAUCGGAAGGAACACCGGUGGCGAAAGCGGCGCGCUGGAUCUCUUCUGACGCUGAGGCGCGAAAGCCAGGGGAGCGAACGGG
Molecule: ribosomal RNA, 253 nt
Filed under: uncultured bacterium
Lineage: Bacteria
Description: partial 16S ribosomal RNA
Rfam family: Bacterial small subunit ribosomal RNA
Source: RNAcentral